This 450-nucleotide ribosomal RNA is filed under the name uncultured bacterium. RNAcentral describes it as "partial 16S ribosomal RNA". It matches the Rfam family "Bacterial small subunit ribosomal RNA", at positions 354 to 796 of the family's 1533-position model. The record is from RNAcentral.
GUGGGGAAUAUUGGACAAUGGGCGAAAGCCUGAUCCAGCCAUGCCGCGUGUGUGAAGAAGGUCUUCGGAUUGUAAAGCACUUUAAGUUGGGAGGAAGGGCAGUAAGUUAAUACCUUGCUGUUUUGACGUUACCGACAGAAUAAGCACCGGCUAACUUCGUGCCAGCAGCCGCGGUAAUACGAAGGGUGCAAGCGUUAAUCGGAAUUACUGGGCGUAAAGCGCGCGUAGGUGGUUUUGUAAGUUGGAGGUGAAAUCCCCGGGCUCAACCUGGGAACUGCCUCCAAAACUGCAUGACUAGAGUACGGUUGAGGGUAGUGGAAUUUCCUGUGUAGCGGUGAAAUGCGUAGAUAUAGGAAGGAACACCAGUGGCGAAGGCGACUACCUGGACUGAUACUGACACUGAGGUGCGAAAGCGUGGGGAGCAAACAGGAUUAGAUAUCCGAGUAGUCC